GGAAUUCUUAAGUUCUAGUUUUCAGCAGUUCCUUAAUCAAGAGGGCAUUGUUCAUCAAUUAAGCUGCCCUCACACUCCCGAGCAGAAUGGUGCUGCAGAGCGAAAACACAGGCACAUAGUUGAAUUGGCUAGAACUUUGUUAGCUGCUUCUAAAGUUCCUUUUCAGUUUUGGGUUGAUGCCUUUCUCACUGCCCUUUACCUCAUCAACCGCCUACCUUUUACCUCAUCUCGCCUCUCUCCUUUUGAACUCCUAUUUCACUCCAAACCCAAUUAUCGUUCCCUUAAAAUUUUUGGUUGCCAAUGUUUUCCUUGGUUACAACCCUACAGUCCCUCCAAAUUACAUCCCAAGAGUUUAUCUUGUGUGUUUCUGGGAUAUAGUCUUACUCAUUCUGGGUAUCGUUGUCUUGAUCCUGUUACAAAUCGCCUUUAUGUAUCUAGACAUGUUACUUUUCAUGAAUCUAUUUUCCCUUUUCAUGCUACUGUUUCUUCUUCCUCUUAUGAUUCCAUUUCUUCACAUUUUCCUGUCAUUCCUCUCACUUUUCCUGUGGUCACUUCUUCUCCUUCCCAGUCUCCUUUAUCAUCCUUAUCCUCCUCCCCUCUUCCCUUUUUUGUGCCAUCUGUUUCUCCCCCUUCUCCAUCUUCAUUAUCUGUUCCUUCUUCUUCUAUCCCUGUUCAAAACACUCAUCCUAUGCUCACUCGUUCCAAAGAUGGUAUUUUUAAACCUAAAGCUCUUACGGCCACUAAGCAUCCCUUGCCUUCUUCUUUACAUUCUACUGCUCUUCUUCCUCCCACUCCCACUACCUAUCAACAGGCUGCUAAACAUUCAGUGUGGGUUGAGGCCAUGAAGAGUGAACUUGCUGCUUUGGAACAAACCAAAACCUGGACUCUAGUCCCUCCAACUCCAGAUCAGAAUUUAGUUGGUUCUAAGUGGGUUUUUCGAACUAAGUUUAAACCUGAUGGUACUGUUGACAAAUUCAAGGCUCGUUUGGUUGCUAAGGGGUAUCAUCAGCGGGAAGGCUUGGAUUUUCAUGAAACUUUCAGCCCUGUGGCUAAACCUACUACGAUCAGACUUCUUCUUUCUUUGGCCGUCCAGUAUGAUUGGUUCUUAAAUCAAUUGGAUGUGAGUAACGCUUUCCUUCAUGGUUUUUUGAAGGAAAAUGUUUUUAUGUCUCAGCCACCUGGUUUUGCCGAUCCUACCAGGCCUCAUUUUGUUUGUCAGCUCCAUAGAUCCUUGUAUGGCUUAAAACAGGCUCCUAGGGCAUGGUAUGAUGAAUUGUUCAAAGCCUUGGUUUCUCUGGGGUUUCGAUCAUCUCAGGCUGAUUCUUCUCUUUUCAUUAAGUCAAGUGGUGCUUCUCUUGUUCUUGUCUUGGUCUAUGUUGAUGAUAUUUAGGUCACUGGAAACUGCAACACAGAUUGUACCUCUCUUAUUUCUCAUCUCCGUGCAAAAUUCCCAGUUAAGGAUCUUGGUCCCUUACACUAUUUACUUGGCUUGGAGGUCACACGAUCUGCCCAAGGUAUGUUUCUUUCUCAAACGAAAUAUGUCUGUGAUCUUCUCAAGAGGACAGAUUUUCUUGGGGCUAGUUCUUGUUCAACUCCCCUUGGUUCUUACAAGUUGGAUAAUUCUGGGGAUAUUCUUGAAGAUGUCACUUUCUAUCGCUCUACUGUGGGUGCCCUUCAAUAUCUUACAUGGACUAGACCAGACCUAUCCUAUGCUGUUAAUCUUGUUUGUCAGCACUUGCAUCAGCCUCGUUCUAAUCACUUGGGUGCUGUUAA
Molecule: long non-coding RNA, 1773 nt
Filed under: Prunus dulcis (almond)
Lineage: Eukaryota; Viridiplantae; Streptophyta; Magnoliopsida; Rosales; Rosaceae
Description: sRNA ncRNA
Source: RNAcentral